This 390-nucleotide ribosomal RNA is filed under the name uncultured Cryptomonas. Its description in RNAcentral is "SSU rRNA". It matches the Rfam family "Eukaryotic small subunit ribosomal RNA", at positions 585 to 972 of the family's 1831-position model. The record is from RNAcentral. Lineage: Eukaryota; Cryptophyceae; Cryptomonadales; Cryptomonadaceae.
CCAGCUCCAAUAGCGUAUACUAAAGUUGUUGCAGUUAAAAAGCUCGUAGUCGAAUAUUAGUUUCCAAUCGCUGCCUUGUUCUUUAUUGUAACAGAGGCUUGGUGUGUUGGAAUCUUUUUUUUGUCCAAUGGAAGACAUUCAUUUUGAAUGAAACCCAUUGUGCAUAUAUUACUGUGAAUAAAAUAGAGUGUUCAUGGCAGGCCUUUAUGGCUUAUAUACCUUAGCAUGGAAUAAUAGAAUAGGACUGUCGGUUCUAUUUUAUUGGUUAUUGGAGCCGAAGUAAUGAUUAAUAGGAAUAGUUGGGGGCAUUCGUACUCCGUAGUCAGAGGUGAAAUUCUUGGAUUUACGGAAGACGAACAACUGCGAAAGCAUCUGCCAAGGAUGUUUUCA